UUUCUUCUUUAAACAGCUAUCAUCUCUGAUAUUUGGACCUCUCACACAAUCACACCUGCUAUAAAGGUUUCGCCCCAUCACUGAUGGCCACAAAGCUGGCAUUGUCCUUUGGAGAAUUCCGCAUGUAAGGGGUGCGGAUGGGGGAAAUGGAGGCUUUAUUGGCAAGAGGGGAGUCAGCACUUGCAAGAGGAAAGGGAGCCAGCUUUGAGCUCUUCAGCACCAGCCGCACGUGUUUCCUUCAACCCCAGGAGGAAGGUAUUAAAAGCUCCACCCUUACCCCUGAGAACGCUGUUUCUCUCAGAGGCAGAGCAACUUCCUCAAGGUCACACAGCACGUAAGUGACAAAGCCAGAGUGGAUGACAUCACAUUAAUUACUAACUACUUUAAUCGAAUGCAUUGAUCACUUGCUAGGGAACAGGCACCUCGUUAGGAGUCUUAGGGCCAUGCCUGAUUUCAAGUUUAUCUACAUAUUUUGCUUCCACUUCCAUCUAUUUGGAUGCUAUUCCCACUUCAUUACUCUCCCCAUUAGGCAGAUGAGGAGACUGAGACUCAGGGAGGAGAAGUAGCUUGCUUUGGGUCACUCAGCUCGGAAGCAGCAAAGCUAGGAUUCAAACUGAGGUAAUUCUGAUGCCUCCUGUUUUCAGAAAGUGGCUGAUGUCAAGAGAGUGAAAGUUGGAAAUGUUCUGCAUUAAAGGAGCUUAAGGAGACAUGACAAGCUGAUGCACAACUGAUGCCCGAGUGGAAACCGUCCUGAAAGGGGAGACGCCACCCAGGCGUGUUAUGGUCACUUGACAAAACAGAAUGUGAGCAGCCUUGGAGACAAGAGUCGUGUCGAAUUUGAACAUCUGUGGUGGGACCUCUGCUGCGAUUGUGUAAGGGAACGUCUUUGUCUGAGGUCUCUAGGGGUCAAGGGCCGUGUUCCCUGCACCUCCUUCAUGUGGUUUAGGGAAAGAAGUGUGUGUGUGUGCACACGUGUAUGAGCAUGUACAGAGACAGAAAGAGCCAAUGCGGUAAAAUGCUUAACAUUAAUCUAAUGGGUGCAUUUACUAUUCUGUAAGUUUGAAAUUAUCUUCAAAUAUAUAUAUAUAUAUAUAUUUUAAACAGGAAGAAGCAAUUGCUGGGUGUCAUAUAAUGAGCUGAUGGGUGUUUCCUGAGACUCACUCCAUGGACCUUCCACCUCUCUCCUGUCCCAGUGUGUCCCCUCUGUCUGAAACUCCAGCAUUGCUGAUCCAUUCCUGCAGGUCCGCCCGCCCCGGGUGGAAGUGCACAUACCCGGGACAGGUAUCCGUCCUUCAGAUCUUGAGGACACUGAGCUGUACUGCAAUGUCUCUAUUCAUUGCUAGCCAAGACUUGGGGGUGAGGAUUGUCACGUGCUUGUGGCACAGGGUGGUGCCAAGGACAAGAUGUCCUUGAGGGAACUGUCAAGUGGGCAAAUGACACAGUAUGAAAAACAGUGGGUUUGGAAAGGCACAGAGCCAGGAGCUGCCGGAGGAGGAAGAAGGAAAGAGCAGAACAGACCCAGCGACCACCCACCACCUCACCUGGCAUCUUGAGAGGGCUGAUCCAGGUUCCCUGGGACGGGGAGGAGUGCACUUCUUCUUACCCUCCCCUGCCAGGGCUUCAUUGUCUCUGGAAAGUGAAUACACAGCCACUUUGGUCCAGGGACUCCCCACCCAGUGUCACCCUGUACGUGUCUUUUGGGUCAACCUUGCCAGCUUUAGAUCUAACAAUAAUGACGAUAUUUUUCCACGUAAAGAAACUAAAACUUAAUCUUGCUUGUUAUUAAAGAAGUGGAACAAAAUGAAUAACUAUUUUACAUGAUUUACACAGUCUCCUGCCUUGCCACAUCGCCUGCAUCUUGGUGACCGUGGGGAGCUUGACAGCAGUGACGACACACCAGUGUCAUCAGGCAUCUCCUUCCCAGGGUGGUCUCCCACGGGCAGGUCACACUCCUCAAGUGGGGCUGUAGAAGGCUGGUCACUGUG
RNAcentral lists this long non-coding RNA (1985 nucleotides) under Marmota monax (woodchuck). The record is from RNAcentral. Lineage: Eukaryota; Metazoa; Chordata; Mammalia; Rodentia; Sciuridae.